RNAcentral lists this ribosomal RNA (253 nucleotides) under uncultured bacterium. RNAcentral describes it as "partial 16S ribosomal RNA". It matches the Rfam family "Bacterial small subunit ribosomal RNA", at positions 524 to 776 of the family's 1533-position model. The record is from RNAcentral.
UACAGAGGGGGCAAGCGUUGUUCGGAAUUACUGGGCGUAAAGGGCGCGUAGGCGGCCGCCUAAGUCAGACGUGAAAUCCCUCGGCUCAACCGGGGAACUGCGUCUGAUACUGGGUGGCUUGAAUCCGGGAGAGGGAUGCGGAAUUCCAGGUGUAGCGGUGAAAUGCGCAGAUAUCAGGAGGAACACCGAUGGCGAAGGCAGCUCGCUGGGACGGUACUGACGCUGAGGCGCGAAAGCGUGGGGAGCAAACAGG